GACGAACCGUGCGAACGUUGUUCGGAUUCACUGGGCUUAAAGGGCGCGUAGGCGGGCUCGCAAGUCGGGGGUGAAAUACUUCAGCUUAACUGGAGAACAGCCCUCGAUACUGCGGGCCUCGAGGGAGGUAGGGGCAUGCGGAACUUCGGGUGGAGCGGUGAACUGCGUAGAUAUCCGAAGGAACGCCGGUGGCGAAGGCGGAUCUCUGGGCCUUACCUGACGCUCAGGCGCGAAAGCUAGGGGAGCGAACUGG
Molecule: ribosomal RNA, 253 nt
Filed under: uncultured bacterium
Lineage: Bacteria
Description: partial 16S ribosomal RNA
Rfam family: Bacterial small subunit ribosomal RNA
Source: RNAcentral